CAUCCUCCAAGGCUAAAUACUCCUGACUGACCGAUAGUGAACCAGUACCGUGAGGGAAAGGCGAAAAGAACCCCGGCGAGGGGAGUGAAAAAGAACCUGAAACCGUGUACGUACAAGCAGUGGGAGCCCCACCACUAAGCCAGUGGUGAACUCCACAUACGCAUCCUUUGCUGAGGAUACGGUUAACGGAGCGCAAGCGACGUUCAACCGCAAAAGAAGCAGAGGGGGCUUAGUGGUGGGGUGACUGCGUACCUUUUGUAUAAUGGGUCAGCGACUUAUAUUCUGUAGCAAGGUUAACCGAAUAGGGGAGCCGGAGGGAAACCGAGUCUUAAUUGGGCGUUAAGUUGCAGGGUAUAGACCCGAAACCCGGUGAUCUAGCCAUGGGCAGGUUGAAGGUUGGGUAACACUAACUGGAGGACCGAACCGACUAAUGUUGAAAAAUUAGCGGAUGACCUGUGGCU
RNAcentral lists this ribosomal RNA (461 nucleotides) under Salmonella enterica subsp. enterica. RNAcentral's name for it is "partial 23S ribosomal RNA". It matches the Rfam family "Bacterial large subunit ribosomal RNA", at positions 454 to 816 of the family's 2925-position model. The record is from RNAcentral. Lineage: Bacteria; Pseudomonadati; Pseudomonadota; Gammaproteobacteria; Enterobacterales; Enterobacteriaceae.